This 253-nucleotide ribosomal RNA is filed under the name uncultured bacterium. RNAcentral's name for it is "partial 16S ribosomal RNA". It matches the Rfam family "Bacterial small subunit ribosomal RNA", at positions 524 to 776 of the family's 1533-position model. The record is from RNAcentral.
UACGUAGGGUGCGAGCGUUGUCCGGAAUUAUUGGGCGUAAAGGGCUCGUAGGCGGUUUGUUGCGUCGGGAGUGAAAACUUACAGCUUAACUGUGAGCGUGCUUCCGAUACGGGCAGACUUGAGGUAUUCAGGGGAGAACGGAAUUCCUGGUGUAGCGGUGAAAUGCGCAGAUAUCAGGAGGAACACCGGUGGCGAAGGCGGUUCUCUGGGAAUAUCCUGACGCUGAGGAGCGAAAGUGUGGGGAGCGAACAGG